Molecule: ribosomal RNA, 509 nt
Filed under: uncultured bacterium
Lineage: Bacteria
Description: bacterial SSU rRNA
Rfam family: Archaeal small subunit ribosomal RNA
Source: RNAcentral
AGUGAAUAGAUACCCGGGUAGUCCCAGCUGUAAACGAUGCGCGUUAGGUGUAUCGGUGACCACGAGUCACCGAGGUGCCGAAAGAGAAAUCGUGAAACGCGCCGCCUGGGAAGUACGGUCGCAAGGCUGAAACUUAAAGGAAUUGGGCGGGGGAGCACCACAACGGGUGGAGCCUGCGGUUUAAUCGGACUCAACGCCGGGAAACUCACCAGAUAAGACAGCUGAAUGAUUGUCGGGCUGAAGACUCUACAUGACUAGCUGAGAGGAGGUGCAUGGCCGUCGUCAGUUCGUACUGUGAAGCAUCCUGUUAAGUCAGGCAACGAGCGAGACCCACGCCAACAGUUGCCAGCUCGUCCUCCGGGAUGGAGGGGACACUGUUGGGACCGCCUCUGCUAAAGAGGAGGAAGGAAUGGGCAACGGUAGGUCAGCAUGCCCCGAAUUAUCUGGGCUACACGCGGGCUACAAUGGGUGGGACAAUGGGUAUCGACACCGAAAGGUGAAGGCAAUCU